Sinocyclocheilus grahami is the source of this 108-nucleotide long non-coding RNA. RefSeq lists it as uncharacterized. The transcript has 3 exons. NCBI's taxonomy places the organism in Eukaryota, Metazoa, Chordata, Actinopteri, Cypriniformes, Cyprinidae. The record is from RefSeq and is a predicted model, not a curated record.
AGGGGGAAAAUUGUGUGUGUGUCUGAGGUGUAAAGAGUACGUGAAAACCAUACUUGAGUAAAAGUACAGAUACCAUAUGGUGAAAAUUACUCCACUACAAGUUUCAAG